RNAcentral lists this transfer RNA (86 nucleotides) under Candidatus Pacearchaeota archaeon. Its description in RNAcentral is "tRNA-Leu". It matches the Rfam family "tRNA". Rfam says of the family: Transfer RNA (tRNA) molecules are approximately 80 nucleotides in length. Lineage: Archaea; Nanobdellati. The record is from RNAcentral.
GCGAGGAUGUCAGAGUCUGGUCAAAUGAGUACGCUUCAGAGGCGUAUGGCUUAGUGCCUGCGAAGGUUCAAAUCCUUCUCCUCGCA